UGGAGGGUUUGAUCCUGGCCCAGAGUGAACGCUGGCGGCGUGUCUUAGGCAUGCAAGUCGAGCGGUCUAGGAGGUGGGGUAACUCACCUUCUAGAUAGCGGCGCACGGGUGAGUAAUGCAUGGAUAACAUUCCCUUAGGUGUGGGAUAGCCUUGGGAAACUGGGGGUAAUCCCGCAUAAUAUCUCUGAACUGUGGUUUAGGGAUUAAAGGCUUUUGUCGCCUAAGGAUUGGUCCAUGUCCUAUCAGCUAGUUGGUGGGGUAAUGGCCUACCAAGGCUAUGACGGGUAGCCGACCUGAGAGGGUGGCCGGCCACACGGGCACUGAGACACGGGCCCGACUCCUACGGGAGGCAGCAGCCGAGGAUCUUGGGCAAUGGGGGAAACCCUGACCCAGCGACGCCGCGUGCGGGAUGAAGCCCUACGGGGUGUAAACCGCUUUUGUGAGGGAAGAUGAUGACGGUACCUCACGAAUAAGCCCCGGCUAAUCACGUGCCAGCAGCCGCGGUGAGACGUGAGGGGCGAGCGUUACUCGGAAUUACUGGGCGUAAAGGACACGCAGGUGGCUGUGUAAGUCAAGUGUUAAAGACUGAGGCUUAACCUCAGGAAUGCGCUUGAUACUGCAUAGCUUGGUGCUAGGGGAGGGAGAUGGAAUGCCCGGUGUAAGGGUAAAAUCUGUAGAUAUCGGGUAGAACGCCAAAGGCGAAGGCAGUCUUCUAUCCUAGUCACGACACUCAGGUGUGAAAGCUGGGGGAGCAAACAGGAUUAGAUACCCUGGUAGUCCCAGCCGUAAACGAUGCGAACUUGAUAUCGGGUUGAGUUUUGCUCAGCUCGGUGUCGUAGCUAACGCGUUAAGUUCGCCGCCUGGGGAUUACGGCCGCAAGGUUAAAACUCAAAGGAAUUGGCGGGGGCCCGCACAAGCGGUGGAGCAUGUGGUUUAAUUCGAUGCUAACCGAAGAACCUUACCAGGGCUUGACAUGUACCGGAAGGCUACUAGAAAUAGUAGUCGCCUCUUCGGAGGCUGGUACACAGGUGCUGCAUGGCUGUCGUCAGCUCGUGCCGUGAGGUGUGGGGUUAAGUCCCUAAACGAGCGCAACCCCUAUCCCUAGUUGCCAUCGGUUUGGCCGGGCACUCUAGGGAAACUGCCAGCGAUAAGCUGGAGGAAGGAGGGGAUGACGUCAAGUCAGUAUGGCCCUUAUGUCCUGGGCUACACACAUGCUACAAUGGGUGGUACAAUGAGUUUUGCCACUCCGCGAGGAGGAGCCAAUCUCUUAAAACCACCCCCAGUGCAGAUUGCAGUCUGCAAUUCGACUGCAUGAAGCCGGAAUCGCUAGUAAUCGCGGAUCAGCAAUGCCGCGGUGAAUACGUUCUCGGGCCUUGCACACACCGCCCGUCACACCAGCCGAGUCGGUUCAGCCUGAAGACGCUUGAGGGUGUUUAAGGUUGAACUGGUGAGGAGGGUGAAGUCGUAACAAGGUAGCCGUACGAGAACGUGCGGCUGGAUCACCUCCUUAAGG
This 1513-nucleotide ribosomal RNA is filed under the name bacterium. Its description in RNAcentral is "bacterial SSU rRNA". It matches the Rfam family "Bacterial small subunit ribosomal RNA". The record is from RNAcentral.